GAAGGUGGGGACGACGUCAAGUCAUCAUGGCCCUUACGAGUAGGGCUACACACGUGCUACAAUGGCGAGUACAGAGGGAUGCAAACCUGCGAAGGUAAGCGGACCCCUUAAAGCUCGUCGUAGUCCGGAUUGGAGUCUGCAACUCGACUCCAUGAAGUCGGAAUCGCUAGUAAUCGCGGAUCAGAAUGCCGCGGUGAAUACGUUCCCGGGCCUUGUACACACCGCCCGUCACACCAUGGGAGUUGGUUCUACCUGACGGCCGUGCGCUAACCUUCGGGAGGCAGCGGACCACGGUAGGAUCAGCGACUGGGG
RNAcentral lists this ribosomal RNA (312 nucleotides) under Heterosigma akashiwo. RNAcentral's name for it is "partial Bacterial small subunit ribosomal RNA". It matches the Rfam family "Bacterial small subunit ribosomal RNA", at positions 1169 to 1480 of the family's 1533-position model. Lineage: Eukaryota; Raphidophyceae; Chattonellales; Chattonellaceae. The record is from RNAcentral.